UGAUCCUGCGCCGAAGAUUUCCGGGGCUAAAACUUACUACCGAAGCUACGGCAUCAGUAAUGAUGGGUAGGGGAGCUUCCCAUACGGGUUGAAGCAUGACCGUAAGGACAUGUGGACAGUAUGGGAGUGAGAAUGUUGGCAUGAGGAGCGAGAUGUGGGUGAGAAUCCCACAGGCCGUAAACCCAAGGUUUCCAGGGGAAGGU
Molecule: ribosomal RNA, 203 nt
Filed under: Clostridioides difficile
Lineage: Bacteria; Bacillati; Bacillota; Clostridia; Peptostreptococcales; Peptostreptococcaceae
Description: partial 23S ribosomal RNA
Rfam family: Bacterial large subunit ribosomal RNA
Source: RNAcentral